RNAcentral lists this small nucleolar RNA (103 nucleotides) under Morus notabilis. Its description in RNAcentral is "Plant small nucleolar RNA R71". It matches the Rfam family "Plant small nucleolar RNA R71". From Rfam's summary of the family: R71 is a member of the C/D box family of snoRNAs containing the C (UGAUGA) and D (CUGA) box motifs. Multiple nearly identical copies of this snoRNA have been identified in Arabidopsis, and it is thought to function as a 2'-O-ribose methylation guide for 18S ribosomal RNA. The record is from Rfam by way of RNAcentral. Lineage: Eukaryota; Viridiplantae; Streptophyta; Magnoliopsida; Rosales; Moraceae.
AGACCAUGAUGAGGACAUCUUCUCAGUACUCCUUGUAUCUCUCCCAUGCGUCAUAUAGAGUUUCACCUUCAUUUUGAGUAAAAUUGUUGAUCUCGAUGCGCAU